RNAcentral lists this ribosomal RNA (460 nucleotides) under Streptococcus cristatus. Its description in RNAcentral is "bacterial SSU rRNA". It matches the Rfam family "Bacterial small subunit ribosomal RNA", at positions 28 to 472 of the family's 1533-position model. Lineage: Bacteria; Bacillati; Bacillota; Bacilli; Lactobacillales; Streptococcaceae. The record is from RNAcentral.
GACGAACGCUGGCGGCGUGCCUAAUACAUGCAAGUAGAACGCUGAAGGAGGAGCUUGCUCUUCUGGAUGAGUUGCGAACGGGUGAGUAACGCGUAGGUAACCUGCCUGGUAGCGGGGGAUAACUAUUGGAAACGAUAGCUAAUACCGCAUAACAUUGACUAUUGCAUGAUAGUCAAUUGAAAGGUGCAAAUGCACCACUACCAGAUGGACCUGCGUUGUAUUAGCUAGUUGGUGGGGUAACGGCUCACCAAGGCUACGAUACAUAGCCGACCUGAGAGGGUGAUCGGCCACACUGGGACUGAGACACGGCCCAGACUCCUACGGGAGGCAGCAGUAGGGAAUCUUCGGCAAUGGACGGAAGUCUGACCGAGCAACGCCGCGUGAGUGAAGAAGGUUUUCGGAUCGUAAAGCUCUGUUGUAAGAGAAGAACGAGUGUGAGAGUGGAAAGUUCACACUGUGA